RNAcentral lists this ribosomal RNA (257 nucleotides) under uncultured bacterium. RNAcentral describes it as "partial small subunit ribosomal RNA". It matches the Rfam family "Bacterial small subunit ribosomal RNA", at positions 26 to 285 of the family's 1533-position model. The record is from RNAcentral.
AGGACGAACGCUGGCGGCGUGCUUAACACAUGCAAGUCGAGCGGUAAGGCUCCUUCGGGAGUACACGAGCGGCGAACGGGUGAGUAACACGUGAGCAAUCUGCCCUUCACAUCGGAAUAACUUCGGGAAACCGAAGCUAAUACCAGAUAUGACCAUCACGGGCAUCCGCGAUGGUGGAAAGUUCCGGCGGUGAAGGAUGAGCUCGCGGCCUAUCAGCUUGUUGGUGGGGUAAUGGCCUACCAAGGCGACGACGGGUA